CCUACGGGAGGCAGCAGUGAGGAAUAUUGGUCAAUGGGCGCGAGCCUGAACCAGCCAAGUAGCGUGAAGGAUGACUGCCCUACGGGCUGUAAGCUUCUUUUAUAAAGGAAUAAAGUGAGGCACGGGUACCUUUUUGGAUGUACUUUAUCAAUAAGGGUCGGCUAACUCCGUGCCAGCAGCAGCGGUAAUACGGAGGAUCCGAGCGUUAUCCGGAUUUAUUGGGUUUAAAGGGAGCGUAGAUGGGUUGUUAAGUCAGUUGUGAAAGUGUGCGGCUCAACCGUAACAUUGCAAUUGAUGCUGGCAGUGAUGAGUACAGUUGAGGUAGUCGGAAUCCGUGGGGUAGCGGAGAA
Molecule: ribosomal RNA, 350 nt
Filed under: uncultured bacterium
Lineage: Bacteria
Description: partial 16S ribosomal RNA
Rfam family: Bacterial small subunit ribosomal RNA
Source: RNAcentral